Long non-coding RNA from Lycium barbarum (goji berry), 3004 nucleotides. RefSeq lists it as uncharacterized. The transcript is spliced from 3 exons. The record is from RefSeq and is a predicted model, not a curated record. NCBI's taxonomy places the organism in Eukaryota, Viridiplantae, Streptophyta, Magnoliopsida, Solanales, Solanaceae.
AAGUACUUAUCAACUAGCAUUCAAAGUGUUUAAAGUAACUUUUAAAAGUUAGUAAGGACGGAAAUAUUCAGAUGGUGACUAAUUGAGUAUCAACACUACUAAAGCCAGACCUUUUUAGUCUAAUUGAUAAUUUGCAUAUUAAUGUAAGAGCCUAACCAAGUGAAGGGGGACAACCAAAAACUGUAGAAAUUUCACGAAAUCAUGUCAGUUCCUAGAUUUCCUUUUGUCUAAAUGAGGAUCCUUUCAAGAUCUUAUCCCUCCUCUUUUUUUUCUUUGUUCCUUUAAUUUUUCUUUUCAAACUUUAAUUUUCAUCUUCUGUGCUUAUGCAUCCCUUUUUUUUCAUAAGGUAAAUAAUUUUAGUAAUAUUGGAAAAGCUCAUCAAAACAUGAUUCUCUACAAAAGACACCCAAUCAUCUAUACAAAUAGGAAUCUCAUGGGAGCACCAAAAAGCAAUCAAAGACAACCAGGUUAUUCCUCAGAUAUAAAAAAAGAAAUUCAAAUGAUAAAGGUUUUUGUUGAUUUGUAUUAUCCGAUUUUGAUCAGAUGGGAUCAAAUCAAAUAAGUUAGGAGAGUUUCAGCUUUUUAGAGAUUAGGUUCAAAUUAGACGACUGUAAAGUUAUCUCCGUAUGACCUAUAGGUCACGGGUUAGAGCCGUGAAAGCAGAGCCACUAAUGCUUGCAUUAAGUUACGCUAUCUACAUCACACCCUUGGGAUGCGGCCCUUCCCCGGACCCUGCUAACACGGGAUGCUUUGUGCACCGGGAUGCCCCUUUCAAAUUUAAAUUAGACUUAUCCCUUUAAUUCUGGACUAUCUAGAAUCAAGCAAUCAUUUUUCUUUUUUAGUGAUUUGUUUUCUCCAUACACUUUGAGUUAAUAGAACAUACUAUUCCACUACCAACACUUUCAUGGUAUCAGGGCAGUAGCCUUUUUUCAUCUGUUCAUGGCUAAGGCAGCCUUUAUGAGCAUGAACCCCAGCGGCAACAACAGAAGCCGAGAGUUCUGUUAGUGCAGUCCCUAGCGAAACAACCACGAGUUAAAGCAGCAAUUCAUCUCAUCUAUCCUUUUGACUAAUGUCCCAUAGGUUGAAUGGCCAAAAAAGUAUCUGUAGAGGGCACAAUAUGUCACCGGUUAGCGAUUGACGUCCGAGGAAAACUUGGGCACUUGACUGGUGAAAUCAGGAAACCUGAAGCUGGAGAUCCAAAGAUAAACGCCUAGAGGUCCGAGAACUCAUUGGUGAGAUUGUGUGGCUUCUAAACUGUAUGGAACCAAACAAUAGGUAAACCCUAUUUAUUUUUGCCUACUGCAAGAGAUGUAUGGAGUUUGUUAAAGAAACAUAUUCUGAUGUAGAAAAUGCUUCUCAAAUUUUUAAAUUAAAAAUUAAGAUUUGAAAGGCUAGGUAGUGAGAGAGAGAGGUGACCAGCUAUUACAAUGAAAUAGUUUCAUUACGGCAAGAGCUAGAUCAAUGCUACAAUGAUGAAUGAGGAUGUCCGACGGAUAGUGUAAAAGCAAUGAAAAGAAAAAAGAAAAUAAGAAAGUUUAUCUAUUCCUAGCAAGACUAAACCGAGAAUUCGAUGAAGAUCCGGAUCCUUGGAAACAGGGGCAGACGCACAUUGGGGCAAGUGGUGUCAUCCAACACUGUUUGCCGAGAAACUUUUAUUAUUAUAUAUAAAUAUAGCCUGCGCAUCGAAACAGUAAUAAUAAAAUAUAAGUGACACUGCUUGUCAACACGGGCUCUGCUGGCGCGCUGGUUAAGGUCAUCUAUUUUAUCAUUUUUAGCUUUCUUCGGAAGAAAAGUUAUUGUAGCCAGUAGGUUUCGAUCCCUCGACUCUGCCUAAAAUGGAGUAGCAAAACCAAAUGGACCAGCAUCUCUUACAUUAGUUUGACUGCCAGAUACUUUAUUUUGCUCUUCACCUCAGAGUAUCUAAAUGUUGAGAAUGUUUUCUCGGCGAUGAAGUUGAUUAAGAUUGACUUACGGAAUUUAAUGGAUAAUAAGCUUUUGAGUGGUUGUUUGUUGUCUUAUAUAGAAAACGAAGUAUUUAGUAAUAUUUUGAAUGAUUCUAUUAUGGAUGCAAAACUCGUCGAGGAGAGUUAUAAUAUUAUACUUGAAUUGUGUUUUUCUAAAUCAUGGUGUUGUUACAUUGAUCUAUUCAUUUAUUCACUUCUUUAAAUGUCGACACUGCUUAAGAAAAAUCCUGCGUACGCCACUGCGUAAGACAUACUCAGAAAGAAGAAGAGAAGAAGCCAGGAGAUGGCAUGUUGAAAUCAGAUCCUAAUCAAGAUUCAAAAUGAAAAGAUUCUUCUGCAAUGGUGGCUGCAAAAGGAGAUGCUGACAUCAUGGCAGCCAAGCAUUCCGAAUAAGCAACGAAGAGCAGGGGCACCGGUUGAACUUCAGAGGUGUCUCCGUUCACUAAGGAGCAAUUAUAACUCUUGCACAAGCUUCUCCAAAAUCAACUCCAAACCAGUAAACCAAGUUGUUUCAAUCCCUCUUCUUCUUUUUAGAACAAGGUCUCGAGGAGGAUGAUUGGCAAUGCUAAAGAGUCGAAGGUAUUUAGAAGCGGAAUUGCAAAAACAGUUGAAAACACGGAAUUUUGAAGACAAGGCACUGUGUUGCACUUGUACGAACCGUCAACGAGCUCGACGGUCCGUCAAGUUGGUCGUCGAAUUGCACUGAGUGAAAUAUCAGAGACUACCAUAUAUUGAUGUAAAACGACGGGAAGGUCAACGGACCGUCAACAUGAUCGACGGUCCGUCGAUGUACAAGGACGGGGGAGUUUCUGCAGCAUGAAAAUUGUCAUCAGAUUGUCGAAGUGCAUCGUCGACAUUCGACGGUACCGUCAAUGUGCAAAGAUGGUCCGUCGAGUUGCAAGCCGACCUGGAACUAGAUUAAGAUUAAUUAUUCCGAGUUUAACUUGUAUAAAUACCAAAUACCUAUUUAGGUUUUAUUUUUCAGACAUCUGGAGUUUUAGACUUGUAGUAAUUACUUUUGGGUUUUUAGUACAAUUGAA